This 443-nucleotide ribosomal RNA is filed under the name uncultured bacterium. RNAcentral's name for it is "partial 16S ribosomal RNA". It matches the Rfam family "Bacterial small subunit ribosomal RNA", at positions 338 to 795 of the family's 1533-position model. The record is from RNAcentral.
CCUACGGGAGGCAGCAGUGGGGAAUAUUGGACAAUGGGGGGAACUCUGAUCCAGCGACGCCGCGUGAGUGAAGAAGGCUUUCGGUAUGUUAAGCUCUAUUAGUAGGGAAGUAAGACAUGACGGUACCUGACUAUGAAGCCCCGGCUAACUACGUGCCAGCAGCCGCGGUAAUACGUAGGGGGCAAGCGUUAUCCGGAUUUACUGGGUGUAAAGGGAGCGUGGACGGCGAUGCAAGUCAGAAGUGAAAGGGGGGGGCUCAACCCCCAGACUGCUUUGGAUACUGUAUGGCUGGAGUGCAGGUGAGGUAAGUGGAAUUCCUAGUGUAGCGGUGAAAUGCGUAGAUAUUAGGAGGAACACCAGUGGCGAAGGCGGCUUACUAGACUGUAACUGACGUUGAGGCUCGAAAGCGUGGGGAGCAAACAGGAUUAGAUACCCCUGUAGUC